AGGUCAAUUACAUAUAAAUACAGUGUGGAAGGCAGAUAGCCAGAAAUAACAGAUUUUAUUCUCCAGAGGGAAAGGGAGAAUUAACCAGAGCAGAAGCUUCUGGAACAAGGAUACUCCAUUAGAUAAGAACGAGGCUCCGCUCCUUUGUAAAAGUGGCAUAUAUGGGAAGAAUCAGAAAGCUUUCUCAAAGUUUGGGAAAAUGCCUGAGUUGGUGAAGUCAGCGGACUAAAAACAUGCCUUGGAAUGAUUAAGAGGAAUUAUUUGGGAGGAGGUGUCUUUUUUGAGGCAACGUUGAAAGGAUUUCUCAAUUGCACUAAUAACUGUUGAAAUUCAAGUUAUUAGCACUGACAGGAAACCAACAGAGUCUUUAGUAACAUUAUAACUUUUUCACCAUCCCAAUAAAAGUGGCAAC
This 412-nucleotide long non-coding RNA is filed under the name Bos indicus x Bos taurus (hybrid cattle). RNAcentral's name for it is "lncRNA (ENSBIXG00000028755.1)". Lineage: Eukaryota; Metazoa; Chordata; Mammalia; Artiodactyla; Bovidae. The record is from RNAcentral.